UGUCUGAAAGAAAAUAUGGUGUGUCUAAACUGGAAAAGUCCUGUAAUAGUUUGUUCAUGAGCAUUUACACAAUGGAGUUGCUGUUUCAUCAUGGGGGUACUGUGGACAAGCCCAGGGUUGCUGUAGAGACAGAGUUUUUUGUCUUGUAGGCCAGGCUGGUCUCGAGCUCCUGACCUCAAGUGAUCCACCUGCCUCCCAAAGUGCUGGGAUUACAGGCACAUGAACUUAUGAAUUUAAGACAUGAAGAUUUACAGCUUGAUAAACCAGCUUCAGGAGACAUGAACUUAUGAACUCAACACAUGAAGAUUUACAGCUUGACAAACGGCUGCUGUAAAAUAUUACAGGCAU
Molecule: small RNA, 348 nt
Filed under: Pongo abelii (Sumatran orangutan)
Lineage: Eukaryota; Metazoa; Chordata; Mammalia; Primates; Hominidae
Description: processed transcript
Source: RNAcentral